This 497-nucleotide ribosomal RNA is filed under the name uncultured bacterium. RNAcentral's name for it is "partial 16S ribosomal RNA". It matches the Rfam family "Bacterial small subunit ribosomal RNA", at positions 28 to 507 of the family's 1533-position model. The record is from RNAcentral.
GAUGAACGCUGGCGGCGUGCCUAAUACAUGCCAGUCGAGCGAACAGACGAGGAGCUUGCUCCUUCGACGUUAGCGGCGGACGGGUGAGUAACACGUAGGUAACCUACCUAUAAGACUGGGAUAACUUCGGGAAACCGGAGCUAAUACCGGAUAAUAUUUCGAACCGCAUGGUUCGAUAGUGAAAGAUGGCUUUGCUAUCACUUAUAGAUGGACCUGCGCCGUAUUAGCUAGUUGGUAAGGUAACGGCUUACCAAGGCAACGAUACGUAGCCGACCUGAGAGGGUGAUCGGCCACACUGGAACUGAGACACGGUCCAGACUCCUACGGGAGGCAGCAGUAGGGAAUCUUCCGCAAUGGGCGAAAGCCUGGCGGAGCAACGCCGCGUGAGUGAUGAAGGUCUUCGGAUCGUAAAACUCUGUUAUUAGGGAAGAACAAACGUGUAAGUAACUGUGCACGUCUUGACGGUACCUAAUCAGAAAGCCACGGCUAACUACGUG